GUUCUCGCCGAAAUAGCUGUAGGGCUAGCCUCGAGGUAAAGAGUCAUGGAGGUAGAGCACUGUUUGGACUAGGGGCCCUUCUCGGGUUACCGAAUUCAGAUAAACUCCGAAUGCCAUGUACUUAUACGCGGGAGUCAGACUGCGAGUGAUAAGAUCCGUAGUCGAAAGGGAAACAGCCCAGACCACCAGUUAAGGUCCCCAAAUAUAUGUUAAGUGGAAAAGGAUGUGGGGUUGCUUAGACAACCAGGAUGUUGG
Molecule: ribosomal RNA, 255 nt
Filed under: Listeria monocytogenes
Lineage: Bacteria; Bacillati; Bacillota; Bacilli; Caryophanales; Listeriaceae
Description: partial 23S ribosomal RNA
Rfam family: Bacterial large subunit ribosomal RNA
Source: RNAcentral